Molecule: non-coding RNA, 46 nt
Filed under: Trypanosoma brucei brucei
Lineage: Eukaryota; Euglenozoa; Kinetoplastea; Trypanosomatida; Trypanosomatidae
Source: RNAcentral
AAACAAAACGUGGAUCUAUAUGCAGAGAAUUGGAUAGGUGUAUAAU